GGGGAGCGGCGCGGCGGCGCGGGAGGAGGCCGAACCGUCUGAGCCCAGAAGUGCUGAGGUGACGAGGAAGCCCAAGGCUGCUGUUCCUUCUGUGAACAAGAGGCCCAAGAAAGAGACUAAGAAGAAGCGGUAGAAGAGGAGGCCCGAGGAGCCGGGCAGGCAGGGAGAGGGUCUUGGGGACAGCCCUCCUGGGAAUCUACAUCCUGUUCCCCCCCAUCCCAGGCUCGGGAUCUGAGGAGGCUGUGACGCCCUCGGACCACAGAGAUCUAGACAGUCAUGACAGUCCCUAGGCUCCAGCUCGGCAAUCCAUCACUUCCUCUUCCUUCUGCUUCUGUGACGGUUUAGAGUCAAGGGGACUGAAACUGUGAGCAUAGACUGUAUUAGGUUUGUUCAGAAGCCAGUUCAGCUCACAGAGUCACAUUUUCUUAAUUAGUCAUGUGUCCAUCCUUGAGUCGCCCCCUCCUUGUGGGUUUACACUACAUUUUGGCGUCAUUAUCUAACGCUGACAAGCACACCCUCUCCCCUUAUUUGUGCACUGCAAAUCUCCUGCUAAUCAGUCACUUUUGUUGCUGCUGUGUAGACAGAGCCAGGCCUCACCUGUUUGUUUAGGCCAAGAUGCCAUGGCCACGCAAUGUUAGUGAUCCCACUGGCUGCGACAGCCAGGCCCAGAAAAUGCCUGGCGUGAGAGCCAGCAGACGGCCAGGCCAGGGUAGGCAGUGCCUGCUUCUGCUCCGUCAGGUGCAGGGUAUUUGGCUGAAGGUGUGCAUAUUUCCUGGGCACAAACUUCCUGAGCCUCCGAAAUGGGAGGCUCAUCAAUUUCAGACCAACCUCUUUUCAACCCAUCAUAGCACAUUCAAGGUGUGCCUUUUACUUCUACUUGUACAUCCCCCAUCCCUUCAAUUCUUUAAUUCCCUGACCAGUGAGCGAGUUCCUGGGGGAAGUGUGAAUAAACUGACAUGCA
Molecule: long non-coding RNA, 961 nt
Filed under: Macaca mulatta (Rhesus monkey)
Lineage: Eukaryota; Metazoa; Chordata; Mammalia; Primates; Cercopithecidae
Description: mannosidase beta like (ENSMMUG00000012536.4)
Source: RNAcentral